RNAcentral lists this ribosomal RNA (492 nucleotides) under uncultured bacterium. RNAcentral's name for it is "partial 16S ribosomal RNA". It matches the Rfam family "Bacterial small subunit ribosomal RNA", at positions 29 to 507 of the family's 1533-position model. The record is from RNAcentral.
AGUGAACGCUGGCGGUAGGCCUAACACAUGCAAGUCGAACGGCAGCACAGUAAGAGCUUGCUCUUACGGGUGGCGAGUGGCGGACGGGUGAGGAAUACAUCGGAAUCUACUUUUUCGUGGGGGAUAACGUAGGGAAACUUACGCUAAUACCGCAUACGACCUACGGGUGAAGGCAGGGGAUCUUCGGACCUUGCGCGAUUGAAUGAGCCGAUGUCGGAUUAGCUAGUUGGCGGGGUAAAGGCCCACCAAGGCGACGAUCCGUAGCUGGUCUGAGAGGAUGAUCAGCCACACUGGAACUGAGACACGGUCCAGACUCCUACGGGAGGCAGCAGUGGGGAAUAUUGGACAAUGGGCGCAAGCCUGAUCCAGCCAUACCGCGUGGGUGAAGAAGGCCUUCGGGUUGUAAAGCCCUGUUGUUGGGAAAGAAAAGCAGCAGGUGAAUACCCCGCUGUUCUGACGGUACCCAAAGAAUAAGCACCGGCUAACUUCGUG